UGGGGAAUUUUGGACAAUGGGCGAAAGCCUGAUCCAGCAAUGCCGCGUGUGUGAAGAAGGCCUUCGGGUUGUAAAGCACUUUUGUCCGGAAAGAAAUCCUCUGGGUUAAUACCUCGGGGGGAUGACGGUACCGGAAGAAUAAGCACCGGCUAACUACGUGCCAGCAGCCGCGGUAAUACGUAGGGUGCAAGCGUUAAUCGGAAUUACUGGGCGUAAAGCGUGCGCAGGCGGUUUUGUAAGACGGAUGUGAAAUCCCCGGGCUUAACCUGGGAACUGCAUUCGUGACUGCAAGGCUAGAGUAUGGCAGAGGGGGGUAGAAUUCCACAUGUAGCAGUGAAAUGCGUAGAGAUGUGGAGGAAUACCGAUGGCGAAGGCAGCCCCCUGGGCCAAAUACUGACGCUCAUGCACGAAAGCGUGGGGAGCAAACAGGAUUAGAUACCCUGGUAGUCCACGCCCUAAACGAUGUCAACUAGUUGUUGGGGAUUCAUUUCCUUAGUAACGUAGCUAACGCGUGAAGUUGACCGCCUGGGGAGUACGGUCGCAAGAUUAAAACUUAAAGGAAUUGAC
Molecule: ribosomal RNA, 567 nt
Filed under: uncultured bacterium
Lineage: Bacteria
Description: partial 16S ribosomal RNA
Rfam family: Bacterial small subunit ribosomal RNA
Source: RNAcentral